Salmo salar (Atlantic salmon) is the source of this 78-nucleotide non-coding RNA. Lineage: Eukaryota; Metazoa; Chordata; Actinopteri; Salmoniformes; Salmonidae. The record is from Rfam.
UGGCUCAGUUGGUAGAGCAUGGUGUUUGCAACGCCAGCAUGGUGUGUGCAACGCCAGGGUUGUGGGUUCGACUCCCAC